GACGAACGCUGGCGGCGUGCUUAACACAUGCCAGUCGAACGGAAAGGCCCUGCUUUUGUGGGGUGCUCGAGUGGCGAACGGGUGAGUAACACGUGAGUAACCUGCCCUUGACUUUGGGAUAACUUCAGGAAACUGGGGCUAAUACCAGAUAGAAGCUCGUGCUGCAUGGUGGUGGUUGGAACGUUUCGGCGGUUGGGGAUAGACUCGCGGCUUAUCUGCUUGUUGGGGGGGGGGUGGCUUACCAAGGCUUUGAUGGGUAGCCGGCCUGAGAGGGUGACCGGCCACAUUGGGACUGAGAUAAGGCGCAGACUCAUACGGGAGGCAGCAGUGGGGAAUAUUGCACAAUGGGCGGAAGCCUGAUGCAGCAACGCCGGGUGCGGGAUGACGGACUUCGGGUUGUAAACCGCUUUCGCCUGUGACGAAGCGUGAGUGACGGUAAUGGGUAAAGAAGGACCGGCUAACUACGUG
RNAcentral lists this ribosomal RNA (468 nucleotides) under uncultured bacterium. RNAcentral describes it as "partial 16S ribosomal RNA". It matches the Rfam family "Bacterial small subunit ribosomal RNA", at positions 28 to 507 of the family's 1533-position model. The record is from RNAcentral.